GGGGAGAGACAUCUUUCGUCAGGAAGGUGGGGGCGUUUCGGGGGCAAAUCCCUGGCGAAAGAGCAAAAACAAGAUUCCUCCUUCCAAUUAUAAUAUGCAACUUUAACAUGAAAUAGUAAAUCUUGAGAUCCUGCAACCUUCCAGAGCAGAUUUGGAGUGCAGGUUCUGCGGCAUUAAGGAAAAAUGGAUGAGGAAUGACACUCCCUUUUGCAAGCAAAAAUAUCCAAUGAGUUCAGUGAAAGUACUUUGGGGUAAAACCCAAUACUCACCUUUUCAUAUAAUGCAUAUAUCAUUGUGAUAAUUACAAAUCAGAAUAUACCUAUUAUAUUCUUGAGUACCCAAAUUCUGUCAAGAGUUUGCAAUAAAUACAUAAAAAGACUAGGG
Molecule: long non-coding RNA, 384 nt
Organism: Pantherophis guttatus
Lineage: Eukaryota; Metazoa; Chordata; Lepidosauria; Squamata; Colubridae
Source: RefSeq, a predicted model, not a curated record